RNAcentral lists this non-coding RNA (122 nucleotides) under unclassified sequences. Its description in RNAcentral is "xerDC RNA". It matches the Rfam family "xerDC RNA". The record is from RNAcentral.
GAUCCCAGCCGGAGGGAUCAUAGGACGCAAGCGAUUUUUUCGCAGCCGGUGUUCAGCGGUUUGCGUCCACAGCCGCCCAUCAGGGCAGGGUGAACUUCACCCCACGCUGUAUCAUACUGACC